AUAUUUCGCAAUGUGGGGAACCCUGACGCUGCGACGCCGCGUGAGCUAUGAAGGCCUUCGGGCCGUAAAGCUCUGUCCUCCGGGAAGAAGAAAGUGACGGUACCUGAGCAGAAAGCCCCCGCUAACUACCUGCCAGCGGCCGCGGUACUACGUUGGGGGCGCGCGUUGUCCGGAAUUACUGGGCGUAAAGGGUACGUAGGCGGCUAUAUAAGUCAGGUGUGAAAUACCAGUGCUUAACACUGGAAUUGCAUUUGAAACUGUGUAGCUUGAGUGCAGGAGAGGAAAGUGGAAUUCCUAGUGUAGCGGUGAAAUGCGUAGAGAUUAGGAGGAACACCAGUGGCGAAGGCGACUUUCUGGACUGUAACUGACGCUGAGGUACGAAAGCGUGGGUAGCGAACA
RNAcentral lists this ribosomal RNA (399 nucleotides) under uncultured bacterium. Its description in RNAcentral is "partial 16S ribosomal RNA". It matches the Rfam family "Bacterial small subunit ribosomal RNA", at positions 361 to 774 of the family's 1533-position model. The record is from RNAcentral.